CGUGUGUUGUGUUCACUCUGUUGUGUACGUUAAAGCGCUGUGGUGCAGAGAAGCCUCAUUAAUAGCCGCGGGAAAGACAAAGUUGGCGGGUUGGCUGUUUCCGCUGAGUAACAGAGCGCGUUGGAUAUGUGAAGCGUUAUGGAAUUGACAUUAAAACGGCUAGGAAGCGAAGGGGAAUUUUUGCGCUUGUAAAAGAAUUUUAUAACCUAUCGAGUAUAUGAUGUUACGGUGAGCUUUGAACUCACUAUCUUUUACCUACGUGAAAA
Long non-coding RNA from Mercurialis annua (annual mercury), 266 nucleotides. RefSeq lists it as uncharacterized. The transcript has 3 exons. NCBI's taxonomy places the organism in Eukaryota, Viridiplantae, Streptophyta, Magnoliopsida, Malpighiales, Euphorbiaceae. The record is from RefSeq and is a predicted model, not a curated record.